UACGUAGGGUGCAAGCGUUAAUCGGAAUACUGGGCGUAAAGCGUGCGCAGGCGGUUUUGUAAGUCUGUCGUGAAAUCCCCCGGGCUCAACCUGGGAAUUGCGAUGGAGACUGCAAGGCUAGAAUCUGGCAGAGGGGGGUAGAAUUCCACCGUGUGAGCAGUGAAAUGCGUAGAGAUGUGGGAGGAACACCGAUGGCGAAGGCAGCCCCCCUGGGUCAAGAUUG
This 223-nucleotide ribosomal RNA is filed under the name uncultured bacterium. RNAcentral's name for it is "partial 16S ribosomal RNA". It matches the Rfam family "Bacterial small subunit ribosomal RNA", at positions 524 to 742 of the family's 1533-position model. The record is from RNAcentral.